RNAcentral lists this ribosomal RNA (567 nucleotides) under Oenococcus oeni. Its description in RNAcentral is "bacterial SSU rRNA". It matches the Rfam family "Bacterial small subunit ribosomal RNA", at positions 972 to 1533 of the family's 1533-position model. The record is from RNAcentral. Lineage: Bacteria; Bacillati; Bacillota; Bacilli; Lactobacillales; Lactobacillaceae.
UACCAGGUCUUGACAUACCAAUGAUCGCUUUUGUAAUGAAAGCUUUUCUUCGGAACAUUGGAUACAGGUGGUGCAUGGUCGUCGUCAGCUCGUGUCGUGAGAUGUUGGGUUAAGUCCCGCAACGAGCGCAACCCUUGUUAUUAGUUGCCAGCAUUUAGUUGGGCACUCUAAUGAGACUGCCGGUGAUAAACCGGAGGAAGGUGGGGACGACGUCAGAUCAUCAUGCCCCUUAUGACCUGGGCAACACACGUGCUACAAUGGGAAGUACAACGAGUCGCAAACCGGCGACGGUAAGCUAAUCUCUUAAAACUUCUCUCAGUUCGGACUGGAGUCUGCAACUCGACUCCACGAAGGCGGAAUCGCUAGUAAUCGCGAAUCAGCAUGUCGCGGUGAAUACGUUCCCGGGUCUUGUACACACCGCCCGUCAAAUCAUGGGAGUCGGAAGUACCCAAAGUCGCUUGGCUAACUUUUAGAGGCCGGUGCCUAAGGUAAAAUCGAUGACUGGGAUUAAGUCGUAACAAGGUAGCCGUAGGAGAACCUGCGGCUGGAUCACCUCCUUUCUAAGGA